CUAAGUGCGGCCGCCAUGUUCUCUGUGUGUCUUUGUCUUUUGUGUGUUCUUUCAUUCUCCACCAUCCCCGGCAUGGACCCCAACAAGUGGCGCAGCGAGCAGGGUCAACACGGAACAGAAGGAGAACAUGCACCUUCACCCCAGCGUAGUUGGAGGACACUAUAAACAAAGAGUCCACGAAGAAGCUUCAUCAUGCCUCGUGGGAAAAGUUAGCACAUUACCAAAACCAUGCAGUCUGUUUAUGGACCUUGAGUAGGAGAUGCUCUGAAAAAAACAUUGGAAGAAAAAAAUGGAAAAACAAAUCAAAACAUCUUCAGACUACAGACUUGUCUUUCUUUGUGUGAAGAGAGCAUUCUUUCUCCAAUUCCUUGUGGCUUGAAGUUUUCUUCUUGUUUGCU
Molecule: long non-coding RNA, 398 nt
Organism: Cercocebus atys (sooty mangabey)
Lineage: Eukaryota; Metazoa; Chordata; Mammalia; Primates; Cercopithecidae
Exons: 3
Source: RefSeq, a predicted model, not a curated record